RNAcentral lists this transfer RNA (74 nucleotides) under SAR324 cluster bacterium. RNAcentral's name for it is "tRNA-Arg". It matches the Rfam family "tRNA". From Rfam's summary of the family: Transfer RNA (tRNA) molecules are approximately 80 nucleotides in length. Their secondary structure includes four short double-helical elements and three loops (D, anti-codon, and T loops). The record is from RNAcentral. Lineage: Bacteria; Deltaproteobacteria.
GCGCCCAUAGCUCAGUUGGAUAGAGCAACGGAUUUCUAAUCCGUCGGUCCCGUGUUCGAAUCGCGGUGGGCGUG